RNAcentral lists this unclassified non-coding RNA (572 nucleotides) under Sporobolomyces pararoseus. RNAcentral's name for it is "Sporidiobolus pararoseus partial contains ITS1, 5.8S rRNA and ITS2". The stretch from base 178 to 331 matches the Rfam family "5.8S ribosomal RNA". Lineage: Eukaryota; Fungi; Basidiomycota; Microbotryomycetes; Sporidiobolales; Sporidiobolaceae. The record is from RNAcentral.
UCCGUAGGUGAACCUGCGGAAGGAUCAUUAUUGAAAACAAGGGUGUCCAAUUUAACUUGGAACCCAAACUUCUCAAUUCUAACUUUGUGCAUCUGUAUUAAUGGCGAGCAACUUCGGUUGUGAGCCUUCACUUACAAAACACUAGUCUAUGAAUGUAAAAUUUUUAUAACAAAUAAAAACUUUCAACAACGGAUCUCUUGGCUCUCGCAUCGAUGAAGAACGCAGCGAAAUGCGAUACGUAAUGUGAAUUGCAGAAUUCAGUGAAUCAUCGAAUCUUUGAACGCAUCUUGCGCUCUCUGGUAUUCCGGAGAGCAUGUCUGUUUGAGUGUCAUGAAUUCUUCAACCCAAUCUUUUCUUGUAAUCGAUUGGUGUUUGGAUUCUGAGCGUUGCUGGCGUUUGCCUAGCUCGUUCGUAAUACAUUAGCAUCCCUAAUACAAGUUUGGAUUGACUUGGCGUAAUAGACUAUUCGCUAAGGAUUCGGUGGAAACAUCGAGCCAACUUCAUUAAGGAAGCUCCUAAUUUAAAAGUCUACCUUUUGAUUAGAUCUCAAAUCAGGCAGGAUUACCCGCUGA